RNAcentral lists this ribosomal RNA (253 nucleotides) under uncultured bacterium. RNAcentral describes it as "partial 16S ribosomal RNA". It matches the Rfam family "Bacterial small subunit ribosomal RNA", at positions 524 to 776 of the family's 1533-position model. The record is from RNAcentral.
UACAGAGGGGGCAAGCGUUGUUCGGAAUUACUGGGCGUAAAGGGCGCGUAGGCGGCCUGCUAAGUCGAACGUGAAAUCCCCGGGCUCAACCCGGGAACUGCGUCCGAUACUGACAGGCUUGAAUCCGGGAGAGGGAUGCGGAAUUCCAGGUGUAGCGGUGAAAUGCGUAGAUAUCUGGAGGAACACCGGUGGCGAAGGCGGCAUCCUGGACCGGCAUUGACGCUGAGGCGCGAAAGCCAGGGGAGCAAACGGG